UACGUAGGGGGCUAGCGUUGUCCGGAAUCAUUGGGCGUAAAGAGCGCGUAGGCGGCCAGAUAAGUCCGGUGUGAAAGUCACAGGCUCAACCUGUGAAUGCCGCUGGAAACUGUCUGGCUAGAGUCCGGGAGGGGCGAGUGGAAUUCCUGGUGUAGCGGUGAAAUGCGCAGAUAUCAGGAGGAACACCAAUGGCGAAGGCAGCUCGCUGGAGCGGUACUGACGCUGAGGCGCGAAAGCGUGGGGAGCAAACAGG
This 253-nucleotide ribosomal RNA is filed under the name uncultured bacterium. Its description in RNAcentral is "partial 16S ribosomal RNA". It matches the Rfam family "Bacterial small subunit ribosomal RNA", at positions 524 to 776 of the family's 1533-position model. The record is from RNAcentral.